GAUGAACGCUAGCGGCAGGCCUAACACAUGCAAGUCGAGGGGCAUCGCGGUGCAGCAAUGCACUGGCGGCGACCGGCGUACGGGUGCGUAACGCGUAUGCAACCUGCCCCGCACCGGGGGAUAGCCCGCCGAAAGGCGGAUUAAUACCCCAUGGUCCCGGGGGCCCGCAUGGGCAUCCGGGUAAAGCCUUGGCGGUGCGGGAUGGGCAUGCGUGCCAUUAGCUGGCUGGUGGGGUAACGGCCCACCAGGGCAACGAUGGCUAGGGGGUCUGAGAGGAUGGUCCCCCACACUGGUACUGAGACACGGACCAGACUCCUACGGGAGGCAGCAGUGAGGAAUAUUGGUCAAUGGGCGAAGCCUGAACCAGCCAUGCCGCGUGCGGGAUGAAGGCCCUACGGGUUGUAAACCGCUUUUCCCCGGGAAGAAUAACCCCGAUGAGUCGGGGAUGCCGGUACCGGGGGAAUAAGGAUCGGCUAACUCCGUG
Molecule: ribosomal RNA, 484 nt
Filed under: uncultured bacterium
Lineage: Bacteria
Description: bacterial SSU rRNA
Rfam family: Bacterial small subunit ribosomal RNA
Source: RNAcentral